GGGCCUCGGUGCGGGGGCAUGGAGGGGCGCUCGGCGGAGGAGCUGGCGGUGCUGCCGGCACGCGGAGGCGAUGCGUGCGGCGCCGGCGAGUGGUGCGGGGUCGGGGGGCGGCUUCCUCUCAGGGAAGGCCGUGCGAGUGCGGAGCCGUGUUGGUGUUUGGGGUGUGCGAAGGAGGAGGCCCCGUAGGGCCUGGCUGUAGCCAGCAAAGCCCGGGCGGGCAGUGGAGCAAGGCGCGUGGGUGCUGUGUUGGCCGGAGGGUGCGGAGCUGGCAGAAGGUUUGUGAAGAUGUGCUUCCUGUGGACGUCCCUUCUUGGGCCGAGCCAGGGCUGCAGUUGUGUGUGAUUGUGUUUGUUGCUUGGGAGAACUGCUGCCUUAGUAGAGUGGGGGGAGGGAGAGGGAGAUUGUAAGACUGCCAUCAGUCAGGAGCACGGCACGUUUCUGCCCGCUUUGCUCAUGCUGUUGUGUGGGUCCCCGCGAAGCAUGGGUGAGCCAGGGUGGCCCCGUGUGUGUGGCAGCAUUGUGCGCGGCUGUGGAAUGGAGUGAGAGUGAUUGUAAUGAAAAUGCAGCUGGCCGUAUUGAUGGUAGGGAAUGGUUGAAUCCCCAGCCGUGAGGCGCAAGACGAGGCGCUGGAUGCUAAGGUGGAAAGCGGAGCUGGUGUGUGCCAGGAGGCAGGCGUGGUGAGGUGCGCUGUGGAGCCUGCUGUUGUUGGCGCUGGGCUGGGGAGGCCCCUGAACAUGGCGCUGUGUGCUGCGUGUGCCAGCCGCAACAGAUUGCCGUGUGGAAGCAGGGAGAGGAUGAAGGAGGCCGAGGGCCCUUUUCUCGGGGCCGGCUCCUCUGUGGCCUCUUGCUUGCCGGAGAGAAGGGCUGCCCGCUGGGCACAGGGAGCGCCUUCUAGCUGCCGUCCCGUGCCCUGUCCUCCAGCCCCCUCCUCAUGCUAUGUGGAACGCCAUUGCCAGCAGUGCGGCUGCCAUUUUAGAACCUUGGCCGCGUCACAGCCGUCACCUUGGUCACCGCUGCCCCGGCCAACGCACUCGCCUCUGAGAGCUCUGGCAGCCAUGUCAGCAGCAAAGAGAGCGAGGGGCGAAGCUUGCCCAAUUUCCCAUCGGAAGGGAGAGCUGGGGGCCCCAGUAGCGAAGAGGAGGAGGGGGGCCGCCUUGACCAUCAAGCGGAGGAGGAAGGAGAAGAGAGUCCGUUUCCAUCGCGCCUGGACCAGCGCUGUGACCACCUCCGUGGAGCCCAUGGAGGUGGAUCCACCUCCAGAGGAGCCCAUGGAGGUGGAUCCGCCUGCGGCACAGCUGGCCUGGCACCACACCACCGUGCCAGGCCCCGCAUCGGCGCCGUCCCUCCACCGCCGCUGGUCCAGGCGCUCGGCUCCUUACCCGCUGCGCGGCCCCCGCCCCCAGCAUUAGCUGGGUGGCAUGAGUUACCAUCUGCUCCUCCUCUGGAGCCAAUUCUGCGGGCCCCCAGCUCCAUCUUCACCCUGUUAAGUCCCCGGCCCUGGUUUACUUGUUGAUUUUAGCGUUAAGUUUAGGGUUAGUGUUAGGAUUAGGUUAUUGUUCAUGUUGUAGUGUUAGGAGUAGGUUAUUGUUCAUGUUUUAGAGUUAGGCAUAGGUUCCUUGUAGUCUUUUAGUGUUAGGCAUAGGUUCCUGUUCAUACUUGACAGUUAGGGGUCGAUUGCUGGUGUCAAGUGGCAGUGAGCAGCUCUCACUCGGUAAGCACACGCCUGAUUGAUGGUGCGAAGACAUGAGUGCGAGUGCCGUGAGCACGGAGGCCCGAUGGCAUCUUGGAUGCAUUGAAUUUCCAGCUUGUGACUUUUGUGUUGCAGACCGUCGAGGAGCAGAGUGGGAGCGGCUGCGCCAUUGCGUUGGGCCUCAGGAGAACAGUGUGUGACUGUGUGUGGAGCGU
Tympanuchus pallidicinctus (lesser prairie-chicken) is the source of this 1905-nucleotide RNA transcript. It is a transcript of the gene named protein MANBAL-like, with no coding region annotated. The transcript is spliced from 3 exons. Lineage: Eukaryota; Metazoa; Chordata; Aves; Galliformes; Phasianidae. The record is from RefSeq and is a predicted model, not a curated record.